GAGACCUCAGGUCAGGCGGGGCUACCUGCUGAAUU
RNAcentral lists this ribosomal RNA (35 nucleotides) under Lathyrus pannonicus subsp. varius. RNAcentral describes it as "partial 25S ribosomal RNA". Lineage: Eukaryota; Viridiplantae; Streptophyta; Magnoliopsida; Fabales; Fabaceae. The record is from RNAcentral.